Molecule: unclassified non-coding RNA, 331 nt
Filed under: uncultured Cladophialophora
Lineage: Eukaryota; Fungi; Ascomycota; Eurotiomycetes; Chaetothyriales; Herpotrichiellaceae
Description: sequence contains ITS1
Rfam family: 5.8S ribosomal RNA (bases 1-106)
Source: RNAcentral
GAAAUGCGAUAAGUAAUGCGAAUUGCAGAAUUCCAGUGAGUCAUCGAAUCUUUGAACGCACAUUGCGCCCUUUGGCAUUCCGAAGGGCAUGCCUGUUCGAGCGUCAUUAUCACCCCUCAAGCCCCGUGCUUGGUGUUGGACGGCUUGGUCGAGGUUCGCCUCGACCCCUCCCAAAGACAAUGACGGCGGCCUGUGGCUCCCCCGGCACACUGAGCUUCUCACCGAGCACGUGUCGGAUCGCGGGCGUCCAGGUCCCGGUCGGCCUCCUUGCGCACAAGGAAAUUUUAUCAAGGUUGACCUCGGAUCAGGUAGGAAUACGCGCUGAACUUAA